GUGUCAGCAGCCGCGGUAACACGUAGGGGACGAGCGUUGUCCGGAAUUAUUGGGCGUAAAGCGCGCGUAGGCGGCUCGGAAAGUCGGUCGUGAAAGGCUGGGGCUCAACCCCAGGACUGCGUCCGAUACUUCCGAGCUGGAGGCAGGUAGGGGAGAUCGGAAUUCCUGGUGUAGCGGUGAAAUGCGCAGAUAUCAGGAGGAACACCGGUGGCGAAGGCGGAUCUCUGGGCCUUGCCUGACGCUGAGGCGCGAAAGCUAGGGGAGCGAACAGGAUUAGAUACCCUCGUAGUCC
Molecule: ribosomal RNA, 292 nt
Filed under: uncultured bacterium
Lineage: Bacteria
Description: partial 16S ribosomal RNA
Rfam family: Bacterial small subunit ribosomal RNA
Source: RNAcentral